Molecule: ribosomal RNA, 769 nt
Filed under: human gut metagenome
Description: bacterial SSU rRNA
Rfam family: Bacterial small subunit ribosomal RNA
Source: RNAcentral
UAUCCGGAUUUAUUGGGUUUAAAGGGUGCGUAGGCGGUUUGAUAAGUUAGAGGUGAAAUCCCGGGGCUUAACUCCGGAACUGCCUCUAAUACUGUUAGACUAGAGAGUAGUUGCGGUAGGCGGAAUGUAUGGUGUAGCGGUGAAAUGCUUAGAGAUCAUACAGAACACCGAUUGCGAAGGCAGCUUACCAAACUAUAUCUGACGUUGAGGCACGAAAGCGUGGGGAGCAAACAGGAUUAGAUACCCUGGUAGUCCACGCAGUAAACGAUGAUAACUCGUUGUCGGCGAUACACAGUCGGUGACUAAGCGAAAGCGAUAAGUUAUCCACCUGGGGAGUACGUUCGCAAGAAUGAAACUCAAAGGAAUUGACGGGGGCCCGCACAAGCGGAGGAACAUGUGGUUUAAUUCGAUGAUACGCGAGGAACCUUACCCGGGCUUGAAAGUUACUGACGAUUCUGGAAACAGGAUUUCCCUUCGGGGCAGGAAACUAGGUGCUGCAUGGUUGUCGUCAGCUCGUGCCGUGAGGUGUCGGGUUAAGUCCCAUAACGAGCGCAACCCCUACCGUUAGUUGCCAUCAGGUCAAGCUGGGCACUCUGGCGGGACUGCCGGUGAUAAGCCGAGAGGAAGGUGGGGAUGACGUCAAAUCAGCACGGCCCUUACGUCCGGGGCUACACACGUGUUACAAUGGUAGGUACAGAGGGUCGCUACCCCGUGAGGGGAUGCCAAUCUCGAAAGCCUAUCUCAGUUCGGAUUGGAGGCUGAAACCCGC